Molecule: long non-coding RNA, 442 nt
Organism: Cololabis saira (Pacific saury)
Lineage: Eukaryota; Metazoa; Chordata; Actinopteri; Beloniformes; Belonidae
Exons: 3
Source: RefSeq, a predicted model, not a curated record
GAGUCUCACCUCGCAGGACCAGGAUAACCACGCACAAGAAAAAAGCGGAAAAGGGAAAUUCAUCUGGAAAACAUGCUUUGACAUGUCUCAAGGAGGCUCAACAGUCCAGAAGAGAAGACAGUGAUGAUGAAGCGAUGAGGGGAUCUGAGAUGCAGCAUGACAGUGAAGACGACAGUGAGGAUGACUCUGAAUCCAGCUCUGAAUCCAGCUCUGACAGGAUAAGGAGAAAAAGGCGAAGAAAAGCAAACAUCGCUCUCGCCUGCGGGUUGGAGGACCAGGUGAUGUGGUGAAGCGGUACAAGGAAGUCCUUGCCAUUUUCCAGACGGGGAAGAAUAUGGCCAAAUCCUUCGAGAAGUAUGGAGUAGACAGACUUACUAUUGUGAGGACUGCAGCGAUUGCCGAGCUCGCAAUAGCUGCUCCAGAAGAAUAUGAUCAGGUGGAG